ACGGAAGGCAGCAGUGGGGAAUAUUGGACAAUGGGGGGAACCCUGAUCCAGCCAUGCCGCGUGUGUGAAGAAGGCCUUAUGGUUGUAAAGCACUUUAAGCGAGGAGGAGGCUCCUGUAGUUAAUACCUACAGUGAGUGGACGUUACUCGCAGAAUAAGCACCGGCUAACUCUGUGCCAGCAGCCGCGGUAAUACAGAGGGUGCGAGCGUUAAUCGGAUUUACUGGGCGUAAAGCGUGCGUAGGCGGCUUUUUAAGUCGGAUGUGAAAUCCCCGAGCUUAACUUGGGAAUUGCAUUCGAUACUGGGAAGCUAGAGUAUGGGAGAGGAUGGUAGAAUUCCAGGUGUAGCGGUGAAAUGCGUAGAGAUCUGGAGGAAUACCGAUGGCGAAGGCAGCCAUCUGGCCUAAUACUGACGCUGAGGUACGAAAGCAUGGGGAGCAAACAGGAUUAGAUACCCUGGUA
RNAcentral lists this ribosomal RNA (460 nucleotides) under uncultured Moraxellaceae bacterium. Its description in RNAcentral is "bacterial SSU rRNA". It matches the Rfam family "Bacterial small subunit ribosomal RNA", at positions 341 to 792 of the family's 1533-position model. Lineage: Bacteria; Pseudomonadati; Pseudomonadota; Gammaproteobacteria; Moraxellales; Moraxellaceae. The record is from RNAcentral.